RNAcentral lists this ribosomal RNA (515 nucleotides) under uncultured microorganism. RNAcentral describes it as "bacterial SSU rRNA". It matches the Rfam family "Bacterial small subunit ribosomal RNA", at positions 9 to 506 of the family's 1533-position model. The record is from RNAcentral.
GAGUUUGAUCUUGGCUCAGGAUGAACGCUGGCGGCGUGCCUAAUACAUGCAAGUCGAGCGAACGGACGAGAAGCUUGCUUCUCUGAUGUUAGCGGCGGACGGGUGAGUAACACGUGGAUAACCUACCUAUAAGACUGGGAUAACUUCGGGAAACCGGAGCUAAUACCGGAUAAUAUUUUGAACCGCAUGGUUCAAAAGUGAAAGACGGUCUUGCUGUCACUUAUAGAUGGAUCCGCGCUGCAUUAGCUAGUUGGUAAGGUAACGGCUUACCAAGGCAACGAUGCAUAGCCGACCUGAGAGGGUGAUCGGCCACACUGGAACUGAGACACGGUCCAGACUCCUACGGGAGGCAGCAGUAGGGAAUCUUCCGCAAUGGGCGAAAGCCUGACGGAGCAACGCCGCGUGAGUGAUGAAGGUCUUCGGAUCGUAAAACUCUGUUAUUAGGGAAGAACAUAUGUGUAAGUAACUGUGCACAUCUUGACGGUACCUAAUCAGAAGGCCACGGCUAACUACGU